CGGCGAGUGAAGCGGCAAUAGCUCAAAUUUGAAAGCUGGCGUCUUCGACGUCCGCGUUGUAAUUUGUAGAGGAUGCUUCGGCGAGGACUCCUGCCUAAGUCCCCUGGAACGGGGCGUCACAGAGGGUGAGAAUCCCGUAUGUGGCGGGCGGUCCGAGCCAUGUGAAGCUCCUUCGACGAGUCGAGUUGUUUGGGAAUGCAGCUCUAAAUGGGAGGUAAAUUUCUUCUAAAGCUAAAUAUUGGCCAGAGACCGAUAGCGCACAAGUAGAGUGAUCGAAAGAUGAAAAGCACUUUGGAAAGAGAGUUAAAAAGUACGUGAAAUUGUUGAAAGGGAAGCGCUUGCAACCAGACUCGCUCGCAGUUGCUCAGCCGGCCUCUUGGCCGGUGUACUCUUCUGCGAUCGGGCCAGCAUCAGUUCGGGCGGCCGGAUAAAGGUGUCGGGAAUGUAGCACCCUUCGGGGUGUGUUAUAGCCCGGCGCGGAAUGCGGCCAGCCUGGACUGAGGAUCUCGCAAGGAUGCUGGCGUAAUGGUUGUAAGCGGCCCGUCUUGAAACACGGACCAAGGAGUCUAACAUCUAUGCGAGUGUUUGGGUGUCAAACCCAUGCGCGUAAUGAAAGUGAACGGAGGUGGGAACCCCUCACGGGGUGCACCAUCGACCGAUCCUGAUGUCUUCGGAUGGAUUUGAGUAAGAGCAUAGCUGUUGGGACCCGAAAGAUGGUGAACUAUGCCUGAAUAGGGUGAAGCCAGAGGAAACUCUGGUGGAGGCUCGCAGCGGUUCUGACGUGCAAAUCGAUCGUCAAAUUUGGGUAUAGGGGCGAAAG
This 820-nucleotide ribosomal RNA is filed under the name fungal sp. BG60. Its description in RNAcentral is "eukaryotic LSU rRNA". It matches the Rfam family "Eukaryotic large subunit ribosomal RNA", at positions 87 to 929 of the family's 3401-position model. The record is from RNAcentral. Lineage: Eukaryota; Fungi.